Molecule: ribosomal RNA, 252 nt
Filed under: uncultured bacterium
Lineage: Bacteria
Description: partial 16S ribosomal RNA
Rfam family: Bacterial small subunit ribosomal RNA
Source: RNAcentral
UACGGAGGGUGCAAGCGUUGUCCGGAUUUAUUGGGUUUAAAGGGUGCGUAGGCGGGUUUUAAGUCAGUGGUGAAAUCCAGCAGCUUAACUGUUGAACUGCCAUUGAUACUGCUUUACUUGAGUAUAGUCUAGGUAGGCGGAAUUCCACAUGUAGUGGUGAAAUGCAUAGAUAUGUGGAGGAACGCCGAUAACGAAGGUAGCUUACUGGGCUAUUACUGACGCUGAGGUACGAAAGCGUGGGGAGCGAACGGG